RNAcentral lists this ribosomal RNA (465 nucleotides) under uncultured bacterium. RNAcentral's name for it is "partial 16S ribosomal RNA". It matches the Rfam family "Bacterial small subunit ribosomal RNA", at positions 28 to 507 of the family's 1533-position model. The record is from RNAcentral.
GACGAACGCUGGCGGCGUGCUUAACACAUGCAAGUCGAACGGAAAGGCCCUGCUUGGGGGGCUCGCGUGGGGAACGGGGGAGUGACACGCGAGUAAGCUGCCCUUGACUUCGGGAGAAAUGCAUGAAACAGGGGGUAAUACAGGGGAGGAAUGCUUUCUUCAUGGUGGGGGUUGGAAAGCUUCUUCGGGUUGGGAUGGACUCGCGGCCUAUCAGCUUGUUGGUGGGGUAGUGGCUUACCAAGGCGGGGACGGGUAGCCGGCCUGGGGGGGGGACCGGCCAAAUUGGGCCUGGGAAACGGCCCAGCCCCCUACGGGGGGGAGCAGGGGGGAAAUUUGCCAAAGGGGGCGAAGCCUGAUGCAGGAAGGCCGCGGGCGGGAUGACGGCCUUCGGGUUGUAAACCCCUUUCCGCAGGGGCGAAGCUUGUGGUGACGGUACCUGGAGAAGAAGCACCGGCUAACUACGUG